UCCGUAGGUGAACCUGCGGAAGGAUCAUUAACGUUGGGGACUAACAAUCCCUCAGCGAGAUAGAACCCUUGCUUUUUCGAGUACCACACGUUUCCUCGGCAGGUACGCCUGCCAAUGGGGACCAUUAAAAACCUUUUGUAAUAGCAGUAAACGUCUAAAACAACAAAAAUUUAAAACUUUCAACAACGGAUCUCUUGGUUCUGGCAUCGAUGAAGAACGCAGCGAAAUGCGAUAAGUAGUGUGAAUUGCAGAAUUCAGUGAAUCAUCGAAUCUUUGAACGCACAUUGCGCCCUUUGGUAUUCCUUAGGGCAUGCCUGUUCGAGCGUCAUCUCACCCCUCAAGCUAUGCUUGGUGUUGGGCGUUGUCUCGCCUCCGGCGCGGACUCGCCUUAAAAUCAUUGGCGGCCUGUGUAUUUGGGCUACGAGCGCAGCAGAUUCGCGCCUCGACCCGCGUCACUGGCAUCCAGUAAGCGAAAACCAUAGUUUUGACCUCGGAUCAGGUAGGGAUACCCGCUGAACUUAAGCAUAUCAAUAAGCGGAGGA
RNAcentral lists this ribosomal RNA (542 nucleotides) under uncultured Pezizomycotina. RNAcentral's name for it is "eukaryotic LSU rRNA". The stretch from base 175 to 328 matches the Rfam family "5.8S ribosomal RNA". The record is from RNAcentral. Lineage: Eukaryota; Fungi; Ascomycota.